This is a long non-coding RNA of Gallus gallus (chicken), 2074 nucleotides long. RefSeq lists it as uncharacterized. Lineage: Eukaryota; Metazoa; Chordata; Aves; Galliformes; Phasianidae. The record is from RefSeq and is a predicted model, not a curated record. The transcript has 2 exons.
GAGUGCUUUCGUGUUUCUGUUUGUCAGCGGGAAAAAAAAUCUUCGCGGGCUCUCAUAAUCCCACGUAGCAGUGCGGCUGCUUCUCUUCCCCCAGGUUGGCAGUUAGCUACUUAUUAAUACCAGCGGCCACGGUUGUGUCCCAGCAGAGGGUGUGAAGCUGAGAAACAAUUCCUGCUAAUGCUGAGGUAGGGCUGGGGAAGGAGAAGGGUUUUUAAACUAAAGGAGGGGAGAUUUAGAUUAGAUGCCAGGGAGGAGUUUUUCACAGGGAGGGUAGUGAGGCGCUAGCGUGGGCUGCCCAGAGGGGUUGUGGAUGGCUGCCCCAUCCCUGGAAGCGUUCAAGGGCAGGCUAGAUGGGGCCCGGGGCAGCCUGACUUACUGUUUGAGCUAGUGUUUGGCAGCUCUGCCUGUGGCGAGGGGAUAGAACCUGGUCAUCUUUGAGGUCCCUUCCAACCCAAGCCGUUCUGUGGUGCUGUCGUUCUGCGUGGCACAGGCGAAGUGCUGCAAGCAGUGAAUCAGAAAGGGCUGAGUGCUAAAGCCAUGUGAGGUCAGCUUCAAUCUUCAGUCUCUUCGGCAAUGCAAACCAAAAGAAGAGUAAGCAACACCUACUCCCUCUAGAUCAGGAAGUUACCCUGAAAGAAAAGUGAGUGCCAGCCUGCAUUGCCUGGUACACACUGUUACUGUGUGAGCAUUUCCUAUUCAGGUUGCAGAAAGAGAAUCAGCUCAAAGAACAUGACCGAGAUGGUACAGUGAUUUGAAGAGGAGACUGUCAGCAGAAGAAACAUGAUAAUGAAAGCCAACGCCUCCACACAAGGCCAAAUUAUCUCAUUCUGGGAUUAGGUUGAAAUUCAACAGGUGGACGUGAAGAUACUCUCCUCUAUCCUCCUUGUCUUCUCACACACCAGUAUACGUUACUGAAAGACAGGCUGCCAAACUUACCUCUAUCCAAAAAUGAGCAGAUAUCCAGAAAUAAUGGCUGAGUGCUGAGUGAGGAAAUGUUACAAUUUUUGGUACCUAUGAAUUACAAUAGGCAUUCUCCCACUGAGCAUGCAUCAAUGAAGAAAGUUCAUCUAGAGGACAAGUGAAGAAGACCAUUGGAUGAAGUAAAAGACUGUCGAUUGGACCGUCAUUAUGCUAAAAGGACACUAGAUGGUAGAACAGACAGUGGUAUAGAAGACUGGAAGCCUCAUAAGUCACUAUCUGAGACAGGUGUGUGUAUGUUAAUUGUCUCACGUGUAAUUGAUGAAUACAUACUAUCUGCAGAAAUACAAUGGACUGAAUCAUAUAAUCUUUGAAGUGCUUAUGUUGGAAAUAUCCCCAGUGCUUCCUGGCGCCACUUAAUAAAGAACAACUGACUUAACAGUAACAAAACUUUGCUCUUAAGUUUCUACAGAUUGAUUUCUUGAAUUCAACAACCUGUGGUCUUACGAUUUCUUUGCUGAAUGGGAAGUUGUGGAAGGAUCUUUCAUCGAGGAUGUUUUCCCAUGCUCACCCUCUUGUUCCGAUAUUUGAACAAAUUAAGUAAUUUAAAUAAAACAAUAGAAAAGGAAGGGUAGAGGGAGGGGAGUGUAUGAUACUGACACCAGGUAGAUAUAUUGAAACAUUCUAAGGGGAGGAUACAGGUAAUGGAAACAAUAAUUUUCCCUUGGAAAGAAGGGAGUAUUGUCUGUGCUUAAUGAACCUGAAUGUAGAAUCCUUUGAUCAAGUACUUCUUAUACUAACACAGAAUGUCUUAGCCAUUGAUGUAAUCCGAUUAAUCGAGGACAAUUGCUCUCCUUGGAAAACUGGCAAGAGAAGAACUGUUCAGCUUGUUCUUAGGUGACCACAUAAGGAUAAAAAGAGUAAGAGGAACAUUCAUGAAAUGACCACUGAGAGACUCGUAAGACACUCAAACAACCUUGCACAAGGGCAGGCAGCUGUGAAAGAAGCCCAGAGAGGAUGGUGUAUCAUUGCUUUACUAUAUGAAUAUGUACGUAGUCGAUGUUUCUUCUGAAUUAGAUAGGUGGAAUACUGUAUUAUACGUAUAUAUAUAUAUACUGUAUUGUACAAUAAUGUACAAAUAUAGUGAAGAAACUUG